GGGAAGGUACUUGGCCUACGGUUCAUAAUGAAUUGAGGAAAGUCUGCCCACCAAGUUAAAGCCACUUCCUUAAGGAAGAUCCAGUAAUGGAUGGCAACAUCACAGAAACGGCACGGCUCUUAUUCGCUAUGAUGUCUUGAAGCCCUGGUGACAGGAGUGAGACCAGACUGAGUUUGUCUAAGAGAAACGUUGAAACGGAUAGGACUGGCAGGUGCAAGCACAAAAUGUGCGCUUAGUAAAAUGCCAAGACAGCCUGUUCCUUGCGAAUAAACUCGCAAACACUGCUUACAAAAAAUCAGUGCAGAAGGCUGACAAAAGGCAGCUUAUUCCUACCC
Molecule: RNase P RNA, 335 nt
Filed under: Candidatus Woesearchaeota archaeon
Lineage: Archaea; Nanobdellati; Candidatus Woesearchaeota
Description: RNase P RNA component
Rfam family: Archaeal RNase P
About the family: Ribonuclease P (RNase P) is a ubiquitous endoribonuclease, found in archaea, bacteria and eukarya as well as chloroplasts and mitochondria. Its best characterised activity is the generation of mature 5'-ends of tRNAs by cleaving the 5'-leader elements of precursor-tRNAs. Cellular RNase Ps are ribonucleoproteins.
Source: RNAcentral